RNAcentral lists this transfer RNA (67 nucleotides) under Napialus hunanensis. RNAcentral's name for it is "tRNA-Ala". Lineage: Eukaryota; Metazoa; Arthropoda; Insecta; Lepidoptera; Hepialidae. The record is from RNAcentral.
AGGAUUGUAAUUUAAAAAAAAUAUUUGAUUUGCAUUCAAAAUAUAUUGAUAUAUUCAAUCUAUCUUA